RNAcentral lists this unclassified non-coding RNA (1917 nucleotides) under Hevea brasiliensis (rubber tree). Lineage: Eukaryota; Viridiplantae; Streptophyta; Magnoliopsida; Malpighiales; Euphorbiaceae. The record is from RNAcentral.
AAGUAAUCAGGUCUACAUAAAAUCUCUCGAAGUUUCCUCCUUCAUUUAUACAUCCCCUCCCUGCAGAAGUCUUACAAGAUAAUUUUCCUCUCCCCCUAAGUCCAAAACCACCAUCUCCCUCUAAUUGCCACACAGAACAAGAGCAAACACUUGGGCGAGUUCCCUUUUUUUUUCCGGGGAAAAUCGUUUUCGGUGCUUCGCGAUUGCUAUGUGCGACUGUCGGUGGUUAGAGAUCAGUUUUGUCUAGCAGUGGCGGAUUUCUGAAGAUUGCGGUUCUGGUGGUGUGUUAGAGAUGGAUCGGGAAGGAGGAUCCAACGGCGGAUCUUGCUACUACUCUGUUCUGGGGAUUCGCAGGGACGCCUCCUUCUCUGAUAUCCGCACUGCUUAUCGCAAACUCGCUAUGGUAAAGACUUCAAAAAACGCCUUCGUUUCUCUCCCCUUUCCAAUUGCCGAAUUCAUUACUCACGUUUGUAGUUUUAGCUAAUUUGUGAUUUUUCUUUUUAAUAAUUGUGGUUAAAAUUGUUUAUUUUUUGGGGGGGCAUUUAAUUAAUGGGCAAUUGAAGAAAUGGCAUCCAGACAAGUGGGCCCGAAAUCCGGGGGUGGCCGGAGAGGCAAAACGGCGGUUUCAGCAAAUCCAAGAAGCGUACUCCGGUACUUUAGCUUCCCCCUCAAAAAGAUAUCUUAACGAUGAAAGUUGCCGUUACAUCGUUUAUUACAUACGCGCUUCUGCCGUUAACUAUCCGUUUGGUUUUUACAGUUCUCUCAGACCUUCCAAAGAGGUCAAUGUACGAUGCUGGGCUUUAUGAUCCUCUGGAGGGAGAAGAUGAAGUUCGUAUAAAUAUCUUUAUCUAGAUUUUGACGAGGCUGAUUCCCUCGUCCUCAAGCUAACCUUGGAAAACGGUGGUGUUCUGGUUAGAACACCAGAACCACAUCGUUUUAACCAUUGGUUUUUGGUUUUGGGGGGUAGUGGUGGGGUUGCAAUUUCGUUUCUUUUUUUAAUUUGUUGUUAAUUGCCUGAUCGACGCCCCGAACUUUGUAAUUUUUUGCAAAAUAGGACUUUUGUGACUUCAUGCAAGAGAUGAUUUCCAUGAUGAACAAUGUGAAAGACGAGGAAGAUAGCUUUGAAGAUCUCCAGAGGAUGUUCGUGGAAAUGGUGGGUGGAGAUAGCGUGGGCUUCGACCUCAAUGAGGAUCCAACGGAUAGGAAGAGGGCACGCGUCAAUGCAUCGAAAGGUAAUGCGGCGAAGCGCAACACCUCUCGCUGUUGAUGCACUAGUGAAUCUUUCGUUCGCCUUGCUGCGUGCCAUUGUAAGGUGUAAUUUGGGGGGAAUUGGGUGCUUUAUUGGCUAGUUUAGGUAGCGUGGGCUUAUUAACUUUGUCAUUCUGGCAGCACCUUAUGAAAAGCUUGGAAGCUAUUGAUAGGAGGAUGGUUUGAUGGAAUAAAAAAAUGCCCCUUUUAUUUAUGUGUGCUUUUGGGUUAAUAGGAUUGAAAAUUAAAGAGGCAGAGCAUGCGGUGGCCUGCGUAUAUAGUUUCACUUGGGUUGCCAAUGAGAUGGCGAAAGAUAUGAAGGUGUGUGCUGAAACACAAUUGACACCUGCAAAUGCAUGCCGAAACAUAACGAUGAAUUUACGAAACGUGUUAUCAGUUUCGAGGACCCAUCUCACGCAUGUAAGAUGAUGGCCAUUGUCUUGUCGAGUUAAGAAAAUGAGGCCAUAGAGUUUACAAAUUUUUAAUUUUUUUUUUUUUGUAAGCUGUUACCUUGGGCCUGCCAGUAACUGUUGGAUCGAAAACCAAGUUGUGUUGAGGUCCAUCUUACAUGGUUCCAGUACUAGGGAAUUGGGAUGGUGUGUAAAAUGCCUCUUGGGAAGACGGUGAUGGUUGGUAUUGGUGGGUCAGGGGUACUCGGUGUGAUUAAAG